Molecule: ribosomal RNA, 253 nt
Filed under: uncultured bacterium
Lineage: Bacteria
Description: partial 16S ribosomal RNA
Rfam family: Bacterial small subunit ribosomal RNA
Source: RNAcentral
UACGUAGGCAGCGAGCGUUGUUCGGAGUUACUGGGCGUAAAGGGUGUGUAGGCGGUUUUCUAAGUUUGGUGUGAAAUCUCCCGGCUCAACCGGGAGGGUGCGCCGAAAACUGGGAGACUAGAGUGCGGGAUGGGAGAGUAGAAUUCCUGGUGUAGCGGUGAAAUGCGUAGAUAUCAGGAGGAAUACCGGUGGUGUAGACGGCUCUCUGGACCGCCACUGACGCUGAGACACGAAAGCGUGGUUAGCAAACAGG